GAUAAGGACAACAUUAUCCUUAAAAAACUUUAAUUUACCCCAGAAGACCACAAUUCCAUGGUCUGAGCUCCAUGGAUGAACCAGGUAGUCUCAUCUACAAGCAAACUGGAAUUAAAAGCAGAACCUCCUGUUCCUGACAUUCAGCGGAAAAAGAGCAUCAAGAUAAAUUAUGCAGCAUAUCAAUGGUAAUGACAUGCAUAGCACUAUGAACACGACAUGCUGUUCUCCCAGUGAUAUAUAAUCUUAUCAACGGGAAUGAGGAUGAGAGAAGGUGGCUGUCCUCUAUGCCUGGCUGGUUUAACGCUGGACGGAGUUGGUAUUCUCUCAUCACUCUAAGAAGGUGUCAUCAUCCAGGUAUGUAAGAAUUACUCAGGUAAACUUCAGUCCACUUAAAGCCAAGAGGACUGUGCAUUCCAUAAAUCAGCGAGUGAGUCCUUACUGUUCCUCCAACUUCUGCAAUGUGCUUUUUGGUAAGUUUAAAAAACAUUAAAAGCAAUAUACCCAGGUGAAAUGAAAGGAGACAGUUGACUGAUGAUAGUGGCUCCAGUUCUCACCAAUAAAUUUUAUCUUGAGUUAUCUCAUAAUGCUUUCUCUCCCCAUGUGUAGUUAUUGACAGUCACAUACACCGUUGCUCUGGUUAUCAUCACAGAAUUGAAUACAUUAUGAAGCAUAUCUCAGGCUAGCACAGUUUCUAAAGGUUAGAAAAGGUCUAUUUAAAGGGAAAAAUCAUUUUAUUAACUUAAGCCUCUGCAUUUAAAACAUUGAUAAACAAAAAUGGAUAUACUUCACUUUUAUUUACAUAAAGACAGUAGUCACUGUUAUACAGUAAAGAAUCAUUCAUUUAGAUGGAAAAUAGAAUAUCAAGGGAAUUAGGUGAUAUGAGUUACUAUACAUUUGAUGUUUGGUUAAAGAGUAAGCAAAACAGUUUAUAUAAUCAAAGUGAACAGGCAUUUGUUAAAAAUUGUUAUGUAAGAAAUUAAGCUAAUAGCUACUUUUAUUUAUGUAUGGAUUGUUUUCUAUUCCAUUAUGUAUAUAAACAAAAUAUUUACAAAUUUAUUUUUACAAUGGCACAGUCAAGUAAUCUAUGCAAAAGAGUUAAUAUAACAUGGAAUUUAGUACUAUAAAUGAGCUAACAAUCUAAACUCCCAUCUGUUAAACAUCAAUUGAUGUAUAAUUUAACAUUUAUUAUUUAGUAGCUAAAAUAUUUUCAGGAGGCAUAACUUUCAUUGCUUAUCUACAACGAUUGUUUUAUAAUCUCAACAGUAUUUAGUGGCAGGGAUGCCUCCUGAAGUCUCUCUCUUUUUUUGACAGGCAGAGUGGACAGUGAGAGAGAGAGACAGAGAGAAAGGUCUUCCUUUACCAUUGGUUCACCCUCCCAGUGGCCGCUGCGGCCAGUGCACUGUGGCCGGCGCACCACGCUGAUCCGAAGCAAGGAGCCAGGUGCUUCUCCUGGUCUCCCAUGCGGGCCAUCCUCCACUGCACUCCCGGGCCACAGGAAGAAGAGCGACCGGAACAGAAUCCAGCGCCCCUACUGACCGGGGACUAGAACACGGUGUGCCUGGGCCACAGGCACAGGAUUAGCCUAUUGAGCCGCGGCACCGGCCCUGAAGUCUCAAUAUAAAGUACAUUUACUCAGUUGUGUUAGAUUGUUUUGGCUGUCAUUACAAAAUACCACCAACUUGGUGGUUGACUUAAACAGAAAAGUCAUUUUUCAAGGUUCUGGAGGCAAAAGUGCAAGAUAAAGCUAUUAGCAGGUUUGGUGUGCCUAGGGCUGCUCUCCUUGGUUUAGGGUUGGCUGCCUAUUUUUUGUGUCCUCAAGUGGUCUUUCCUCUGUG
This is a non-coding RNA of Oryctolagus cuniculus (rabbit), 1835 nucleotides long. The record is from RefSeq and is a predicted model, not a curated record. NCBI's taxonomy places the organism in Eukaryota, Metazoa, Chordata, Mammalia, Lagomorpha, Leporidae.